Molecule: small nuclear RNA, 20 nt
Filed under: Arabidopsis thaliana (thale cress)
Lineage: Eukaryota; Viridiplantae; Streptophyta; Magnoliopsida; Brassicales; Brassicaceae
Description: snRNA_09255
Source: RNAcentral
UUGAGGCAUGGGCUUCGAGC